Molecule: ribosomal RNA, 330 nt
Filed under: uncultured bacterium
Lineage: Bacteria
Description: bacterial SSU rRNA
Rfam family: Bacterial small subunit ribosomal RNA
Source: RNAcentral
UUCGUAGGCGGUGCGGCAAGUCGGGAGUGAAAUCUAUGGGCUCAACCCAUAGGCUGCUUCCGAAACUGCCGUGCUGGAGUGUGGGAGAGGCGCGUGGAAUUGCAGGUGUAGCGGUGAAAUGCGCAGAUAUUUGCAGGAACACCCGUGGCGAAAGCGGCGCGCUGGACCACUACUGACGCUGAGGAACGAAAGCUAGGGGAGCAAACAGGAUUAGAUACCCUGGUAGUCCUAGCCCUAAACGAUCAGGACUUGGGGUGCCGCCCGUUCGGGCGUCGUCCCGGAGCUAACGCGUUAAGUCCUGCACCUGGGGAGUACGGUCGCAAGACUGAA